AGCUCCAAUAGCGUAUAUUAAAGUUGUUGCGGUUAAAAAGCUCGUAGUUGGAUUUCUGUUGAGCGCAGCCCGUCUACCUUUUGGGUAUGUAUGUGGUUUGAGCUCGGCAUCUUCGUGGAAAACGUUUCUGCGCUUGAUUGCGUGGGGCGGGGUUCACGACUUUUACUUUGAGGAAAUUAGAGUGUUCACGGCAGGCAUACGCCUUGAAUAUAUUAGCAUGGAAUAAUAAUAUAGGAUCUUGGUUCUAUUUUGUUGGUUUCUAGGGCUAAGAUAAUGAUUAAUAGGGACAAUUGGGGGCAUUCGUAUUAACAAGUCAGAGGUGAAAUUCUUGGAUUUUGUUACGACGAACUACUGCGAAAGCAUUUGCCAAGGAUGUUUUCAUUGAUC
Molecule: ribosomal RNA, 387 nt
Filed under: uncultured eukaryote
Lineage: Eukaryota
Description: SSU rRNA
Rfam family: Eukaryotic small subunit ribosomal RNA
Source: RNAcentral